This 253-nucleotide ribosomal RNA is filed under the name uncultured bacterium. Its description in RNAcentral is "partial 16S ribosomal RNA". It matches the Rfam family "Bacterial small subunit ribosomal RNA", at positions 524 to 776 of the family's 1533-position model. The record is from RNAcentral.
UACGACGGGUGCAAGCGUUACUCGGAAUUACUGGGCGUAAAGCGUGCGUAGGUGGUUUGUUAAGUCUGUUGUGAAAGCCCCGGGCUCAACCUGGGAAUGGCAAUGGAUACUGGCAGGCUAGAGUGCGGUAGAGGGUAGUGGAAUUCCCGGUGUAGCGGUGAAAUGCGUAGAGAUCGGGAGGAACACCAGUGGCGAAGGCGGCUACCUGGACCAGCACUGACACUGAGGCACGAAAGCGUGGGGAGCAAACAGG